RNAcentral lists this unclassified non-coding RNA (310 nucleotides) under Hevea brasiliensis (rubber tree). The record is from RNAcentral. Lineage: Eukaryota; Viridiplantae; Streptophyta; Magnoliopsida; Malpighiales; Euphorbiaceae.
UAUCAGGAAUAGCAGCAAAGUAUGUUAGCAAGCCGAUGUUACCCUACCCGCUGCUCUCGUCUUCAAUUCCGUCGCGCUCAGCAUUAGAUCUUGAGGUUGGAGGCUACGGGGUCCAGACGGGAAUUGGGGGUGAGUUGUUUGGAGCUGGAGAAUUGCUCAGGUCCAUAUCCGGCCAGACUGAUAUUGAAAAGCCAAUUGUUGUCGAACUUGCGGUAUCAGCCAUGGAGGAGCUAGUUAGAAUGGCACAGCUCGGAGAACCACUGUGGACUUCUGGUCUUGAUCACAGCUCUACUGAAAUUCUGAAUGAAGA